RNAcentral lists this ribosomal RNA (468 nucleotides) under uncultured bacterium. Its description in RNAcentral is "partial 16S ribosomal RNA". It matches the Rfam family "Bacterial small subunit ribosomal RNA", at positions 28 to 507 of the family's 1533-position model. The record is from RNAcentral.
GACGAACGCUGGCGGCGUGCUUAACACAUGCAAGUCGAACGGAAAGGCCCUGCUUUUGUGGGGUGCUCGAGUGGCGAACGGGUGAGUAACACGUGAGUAACCUGCCCUUGACUUUGGGAUAACUUCAGGAAACUGGGGCUAAUACCGGAUAGGAUCUCCUGCUGCAUGGUGGGGGUUGGAAAGUUUCGGCGGUUGGGGAUGGACUCGCGGCUUAUCAGCUUGUUGGUGGGGUAGUGGCUUACCAAGGCUUUGACGGGUAGCCGGCCUGAGAGGGUGGCCGGCCACAUUGGGACUGAGAGACGGCGCAGACUCCUACGGGAGGCAGCAGUGGGGAAUAUGGCACAAUGGGCGGAAGCCUGAUGCAGCAACGCCGCGUGCGGGAUGACGGCCUUCGGGUUGUAAACCGCUUUCGCCUGUGACGAAGCGUGAGUGACGGUAAUGGGUAAAGAAGCACCGGCUAACUACGUG